Seriola dumerili (greater amberjack) is the source of this 504-nucleotide long non-coding RNA. RefSeq lists it as uncharacterized. The transcript has 4 exons. NCBI's taxonomy places the organism in Eukaryota, Metazoa, Chordata, Actinopteri, Carangiformes, Carangidae. The record is from RefSeq and is a predicted model, not a curated record.
CAAUAAAUAACAGCUGAGCCUGCUAUAUAAGGCUGCUGCUGCUGCUGCUGCUGGACACACCACACCGUCUGCGUGAAAAUGGGGCUCUUGACUUACAUGGCCGUUGCUGCUGGAGCAGGUGGCGCAGUGAUCGCUGCUCCUAUUGUUCUGGGAGCUGGAAUAGCAGCAGGUAUGGCUGGUCUGUCAACAACUGCCACUGCAGCUGUGGCUAGUGCUGGAGGAUCAGUAGCAGGACUGCUGGCUGUGCUCAUCUGAGACCAAGCUGAAAGUCAUGAAGGAAUUAAAUAUUAGGAAGAAUAUUUUAUUCUUGCCAAAUAGAAACAACAAAUUACAUUAAUGAAGUAGACAACUUACUGACGAGAACUUGUGUGCAUUUGAUUUGUGAGGGGGACUCAGAUAAUAUUUCGUUUUUUGUUUCUACAAAACACAUUUACAUUGUCAAGUAAUCCAACUUUCAAAUAAGGAAAGAAUUAUUAAUAAAUAAAAUGCAUUUGAAAGGGUUAA